ACUGGUGCGCGAGAUGAGUAUUCUAAGGCGCUUGAGAGAACUCAGGAGAAGGAACUCGGCAAAUUGAUACCGUAACUUCGGGAGAAGGUAUGCCCCAAGUAGGUGAACUCGAACAGAGGGAGCCCAACGGGGUUGCAAAAAAUCGGUGGCUGCGACUGUUUAAUAAAAACACAGCACUCUGCAAACACGAAAGUGGACGUAUAGGGUGUGACGCCUGCCCGGUGCUGGAAGAUUAAAUGAUGGGGUGCAAGCUCUUGAUUGAAGUCCCAGUAAACGGCGGCCGUAACGAUAACGGUCCUAAGGUAGCGAAAUUCCUUGUCGGGUAAGUUCCGACCUGCACGAAUGGCGUAACGAUGGCCACACUGUCUCCUCCUGAGACUCAGCGAAGUUGAAAUGUUUGUGAUGAUGCAAUCUCCCCGCGGAAAGACGGAAAGACCCCAUGAACCUUUACUGUAGCUUUGUAUUGGACUUUGAACAGAUCUGUGUAGGAUAGGUGGGAGGCUUUGAAGUGAUGUCGCUAGAUGUCAUGGAGCCAACGUUGAAAUACCACCCUGGUGUGUUUGAGGUUCUAACCUAGGUCCAUUAUCUGGAUCGGGGACAGUGCAUGGUAGGCAGUUUGACUGGGGCGGUCUCCUCCCAAAGCGUAACGGAGGAGUUCGAAGGUACGCUAGUUACGGUCGGACAUCGUGACGAUAGUGCAAUGGCAUAAGCGUGCUUAACUGCGAGACUGACAAGUCGAGCAGAUGCGAAAGCAGGACAUAGUGAUCCGGUGGUUCUGUAUGGAAGGGCCAUCGCUCAACGGAUAAAAGGUACUCUGGGGAUAACAGGCUGAUACCGCCCAAGAGUUCAUAUCGACGGCGGUGUUUGGCACCUCGAUGUCGGCUCAUCUCAUCCUGGGGCUGUAGCCGGUCCCAAGGGUAUGGCUGUUCGCCAUUUAAAGAGGUACGUGAACUGGGUUUAAAACGUCGUGAGACAGUUUGGUCCCUAUCUUCCGUGGGCGCUGCAGAUUUGAGGAAGCCUGCUCCUAGUACGAGAGGACCGGAGUGGACACACCUCUGGUGUAUCGGUUGUCACGCCAGUGGCAUUGCCGAGUAGCUAAGUGUGGAAGAGAUAACCGCUGAAAGCAUCUAAGCGGGAAACUCGUUUCAAGAUGAGAUCUGCCGGGGCCUUGAGCCCCCUGAAGAGUCGUUCAAGACCAGGACGUUGAUAGGUCAGGUGUGGAAGCG
RNAcentral lists this ribosomal RNA (1226 nucleotides) under metagenome. Its description in RNAcentral is "bacterial LSU rRNA". It matches the Rfam family "Bacterial large subunit ribosomal RNA", at positions 1659 to 2875 of the family's 2925-position model. The record is from RNAcentral.